Molecule: ribosomal RNA, 1350 nt
Filed under: Pseudocellus monjarazi
Lineage: Eukaryota; Metazoa; Arthropoda; Arachnida; Ricinulei; Ricinoididae
Description: partial large subunit ribosomal RNA
Rfam family: Eukaryotic large subunit ribosomal RNA
Source: RNAcentral
CCAAGGAGUCUAACAUGUGCGCGAGUCACCGGGUCUUGUCCAGGCUCGGAGGCGAAAUGAAAGUGAAGGCCGAUCUGGGCGUCGGCUGCGGUGUGAUCCGUGCGGCACCGUUCCCGUCCGGUCCAUGUAGGCCGCCGGGGGCGGCGGUCGGCGGCGCAACACCGGCCCGUCCCGUCCGCCACGUCGGUGGGGCGGAGCGAGAGCGUACACGUUGGGACCCGAAAGAUGGUGAACUAUGCCUGGGCAGGACGAAGCCAGAGGAAACUCUGGUGGAGGUCCGCAGCGAUUCUGACGUGCAAAUCGAUCGUCAGACCUGGGUAUAGGGGCGAAAGACUAAUCGAACCAUCUAGUAGCUGGUUCCCUCCGAAGUUUCCCUCAGGAUAGCUGGCGCUCGAGGGAAGCAGUCUCAUCCGGUAAAGCGAAUGAUUAGAGGCCUUGGGGCCGAAACGACCUCAACCUAUUCUCAAACUUUCAAUGGGUGAGAAGUCCGGCUUGCUCGACUGAAGCCCGGACGUCCCAGGAUGCGAGUGCCCAGUGGGCCACUUUUGGUAAGCAGAACUGGCGCUGUGGGAUGAACCAAACGCUGGGUUAAGGCGCCCGAUGCCAGACGCUCAUCAGAUCCCAUGAAAGGUGUUGGUUGCUAUAGACAGCAGGACGGUGGCCAUGGAAGUCGGAAUCCGCUAAGGAGUGUGUAACAACUCACCUGCCGAAGCAACUAGCCCUGAAAAUGGAUGGCGCUGUAGCGUCGAGCCCAUACCCGGCCGCCCCGGCUGGGCACGGAAGCUUAAGCCGGGGUGAGUAGGAGGUGUCGCAGCGGCGUGCGUUGAAGGUGCCGGGCGCGGGCCCGCCUGGAGCCGCCGCUGGUGCAGAUCUUGGUGGUAGUAGCAAAUACUCAAGUGAGAACCUUGAGGACUGAGGUGGAGAAGGGUUCCAUGUGAACAGCAGUUGAACAUGGGUCAGUCGGUCCUAAGGGAUAGGAGAAAUCCGUUCCGAAGCGGGACCUGCGUGCACCGUGAGGUCCCGUGGUCGACCGAAAGGGAAUCGGGUUAAUAUUCCCGAACUCGGACGCGGAGAUCGGCCCCUCGGGGUCAACUGCGGUAACGCAACCAAACUCGGAGACGUCGAUCGGGGUCCCGGGAAGAGUUGUCUUUUCUUUGUAAGGGAUCGGCUCCCUGGAAUCGGCUCGCCCGGAGAUAGGGAUGCUGUUCCCGUAAAGCACCGCGGCUCUUGCGGUGUCCGGAGCGCUCCGGUCGGCCCUUGAAAAUCCGAGGGAGAGUGUGAUUUUCGUGCCGGACCGUACCCAUAUCCGCAGCAGGUCUCCAAGGUGAACAGCCUCUAGUCGAUGGAACA